GAUGAACGCUGGCGGCGUGCCUAAUACAUGCAAGUCGAGCGAACGGACGAGAAGCUUGCUUCUCUGAUGUUAGCGGCGGACGGGUGAGUAACACGUGGAUAACCUACCUAUAAGACUGGGAUAACUUCGGGAAACCGGAGCUAAUACCGGAUAAUAUUUUGAACCGCAUGGUUCAAAAGUGAAAGACGGUCUUGCUGUCACUUAUAGAUGGAUCCGCGCUGCAUUAGCUAGUUGGUAAGGUAACGGCUUACCAAGGCAACGAUGCAUAGCCGACCUGAGAGGGUGAUCGGCCACACUGGAACUGAGACACGGUCCAGACUCCUACGGGAGGCAGCAGUAGGGAAUCUUCCGCAAUGGGCGAAAGCCUGACGGAGCAACGCCGCGUGAGUGAUGAAGGUCUUCGGAUCGUAAAACUCUGUUAUUAGGGAAGAACAUAUGUGUAAGUAACUGUGCACAUCUUGACGGUACCUAAUCAGAAAGCCACGGCUAACUACGUGCCAGCAGCCGCGGUAAUACGUAGGUGGCAAGCGUUAUCCGGAAUUAUUGGGCGUAAAGCGCGCGUAGGCGGUUUUUUAAGUCUGAUGUGAAAGCCCACGGCUCAACCGUGGAGGGUCAUUGGAAACUGGAAAACUUGAGUGCAGAAGAGGAAAGUGGAAUUCCAUGUGUAGCGGUGAAAUGCGCAGAGAUAUGGAGGAACACCAGUGGCGAGGGCGACUUUCUGGUCUGUAACUGACGCUGAUGUGCGAAAGCGUGGGGAUCAAACAGGAUUAGAUACCCUGGUAGUCCACGCCGUAAACGAUGAGUGCUAAGUGUUAGGGGGUUUCCGCCCCUUAGUGCUGCAGCUAACGCAUUAAGCACUCCGCCUGGGGAGUACGACCGCAAGGUUGAAACUCAAAGGAGUUGACGGGGACCCGCACAAGCGGUGGAGCAUGUGGUUUAAUUCGAAGCAACGCGAAGAACCUUACCAAAUCUUGACAUCCUUUGACAACUCUAGAGAUAGAGCCUUCCCCUUCGGGGGACAAAGUGACAGGUGGUGCAUGGUUGUCGUCAGCUCGUGUCGUGAGAUGUUGGGUUAAGUCCCGCAACGAGCGCAACCCUUAAGCUUAGUUGCCAUCAUUAAGUUGGGCACUCUAAGUUGACUGCCGGUGACAAACCGGAGGAAGGUGGGGAUGACGUCAAAUCAUCAUGCCCCUUAUGAUUUGGGCUACACACGUGCUACAAUGGACAAUACAAAGGGCAGCGAAACCGCGAGGUCAAGCAAAUCCCAUAAAGUUGUUCUCAGUUCGGAUUGUAGUCUGCAACUCGACUACAUGAAGCUGGAAUCGCUAGUAAUCGUAGAUCAGCAUACUACGGUGAAUACGUUCCCGGGUCU
This 1372-nucleotide ribosomal RNA is filed under the name uncultured bacterium. Its description in RNAcentral is "bacterial SSU rRNA". It matches the Rfam family "Bacterial small subunit ribosomal RNA", at positions 28 to 1381 of the family's 1533-position model. The record is from RNAcentral.